This 145-nucleotide small nuclear RNA is filed under the name Numida meleagris (helmeted guineafowl). RNAcentral's name for it is "U1 spliceosomal RNA (ENSNMEG00000009635.1)". It matches the Rfam family "U1 spliceosomal RNA". From Rfam's summary of the family: U1 is a small nuclear RNA (snRNA) component of the spliceosome (involved in pre-mRNA splicing). Its 5' end forms complementary base pairs with the 5' splice junction, thus defining the 5' donor site of an intron. Lineage: Eukaryota; Metazoa; Chordata; Aves; Galliformes; Numididae. The record is from RNAcentral.
GAUCUCACCGGGCAUUGGACACACCAUGAUUAGGCAGAGUGAGGCUCAUUUCUUGCACUCUGAGUGUGCUGAGCCCUGCAGUUUCCCCAAAUGCAGGAAACUCAACUGCAUGACUUGUGGUAGCAGGGGACUGCGCUUUUUCUUC